Molecule: ribosomal RNA, 292 nt
Filed under: uncultured bacterium
Lineage: Bacteria
Description: partial 16S ribosomal RNA
Rfam family: Bacterial small subunit ribosomal RNA
Source: RNAcentral
GGAUUAGAUACCCUGGUAGUCCACGCCGUAAACGGUGGGCGCUAGGUGUGGGGAACAUUCCACGUUCUCCGUGCCGCAGCUAACGCAUUAAGCGCCCCGCCUGGGGAGUACGGCCGCAAGGCUAAAACUCAAAGGAAUUGACGGGGGCCCGCACAAGCGGCGGAGCAUGCGGCUUAAUUCGAUGCAACGCGAAGAACCUUACCUAGGCUUGACAGUUGGGGAAAUCUGGCAGAGAUGUCAGGUCCGUAAGGGCCCCAAAACAGGUGGUGCAUGGCUGUCGUCAGCUCGUGCC